CAUUAAGAAGCUAUAAAGCAUUAACCUUUUAAGUUAAAGAUGAGGACUAUAAAUAUCCUCCUUAAUG
This 67-nucleotide transfer RNA is filed under the name Elephantulus edwardii (Cape elephant shrew). RNAcentral describes it as "tRNA-Lys". Lineage: Eukaryota; Metazoa; Chordata; Mammalia; Macroscelidea; Macroscelididae. The record is from RNAcentral.